AACUUGAAAAUCCUCUUGGAUCCUUUGGCCGGAGAUUGGCCAUUUGUGCAGGCAGAACAGUUGGCCCACUUGGCGCUGAGAUGUUGUGAAAUGAAUCGAAAGAGCCGGCCAGAUCUUGCAUCAGAUGGAGGGUACUUGAACCAAUGAAAGCUUCAUGUGGAGGCUCAUCAUGUUUCCGGCUUGGUUCAGAAGAGCACUGCCAACCUCCUCCAUAUUUUAUAUGCCCAAUUUUCCAGGAAG
This 240-nucleotide unclassified non-coding RNA is filed under the name Hevea brasiliensis (rubber tree). The record is from RNAcentral. Lineage: Eukaryota; Viridiplantae; Streptophyta; Magnoliopsida; Malpighiales; Euphorbiaceae.